CUGACAGAAGAGAGUGAGCACACAGCGGCAAUUGCACCGAUCCGAUGCCGUUUCUGUUGCGUGCUCAUUUCUCUUUCUGUCAG
This 83-nucleotide microRNA precursor is filed under the name Musa acuminata subsp. malaccensis (wild Malaysian banana). Its description in RNAcentral is "mir-156 microRNA precursor family". It matches the Rfam family "mir-156 microRNA precursor family". Rfam says of the family: This family represents the plant microRNA (miRNA) precursor mir-156. Animal miRNAs are transcribed as ~70nt precursors and subsequently processed by the Dicer enzyme to give a ~22nt product. Lineage: Eukaryota; Viridiplantae; Streptophyta; Magnoliopsida; Zingiberales; Musaceae. The record is from Rfam by way of RNAcentral.